UGCGGCGUGCUAUACAUGCAGUCGAACGAACUUCCGUUAAUUGAUUAUGGAGGUGCUUGCACUGAAUGAGAUUUUAACACGAAGUGAGUGGCGGACGGGUGAGUAACACGUGGGUAACCUGCCCAGAAGCAGGGGAUAACACCUGGAAACAGAUGCUAAUACCGUAUAACAGAGAAAACCGCCUGGUUUUCUUUUAAAAGAUGGCUCUGCUAUCACUUCUGGAUGGACCCGCGGCGCAUUAGCUAGUUGGUGAGGUAACGGCUCACCAAGGCGAUGAUGCGUAGCCGACCUGAGAGGGUAAUCGGCCACAUUGGGACUGAGACACGGCCCAGACUCCUACGGGAGGCAGCAGUAGGGAAUCUUCCACAAUGGACGCAAGUCUGAUGGAGCAACGCCGCGUGAGUGAAGAAGGGUUUCGGCUCGUAAAGCUCUGUUGUUAAAGAAGAACGUGGGUGAGAGUAACUGUUCACCCAGUGACGGUAUUUAACCAGAAAGCCACGGCUAACUACGUGCCAGCAGCCGCGGUAAUACGUAGGUGGCAAGCGUUAUCCGGAUUUAUUGGGCGUAAAGCGAGCGCAGGCGGUCUUUUAAGUCUAAUGUGAAAGCCUUCGGCUCAACCGAAGAAGUGCAUUGGAA
RNAcentral lists this ribosomal RNA (636 nucleotides) under Pediococcus acidilactici. RNAcentral describes it as "bacterial SSU rRNA". It matches the Rfam family "Bacterial small subunit ribosomal RNA", at positions 38 to 631 of the family's 1533-position model. The record is from RNAcentral. Lineage: Bacteria; Bacillati; Bacillota; Bacilli; Lactobacillales; Lactobacillaceae.